GCCAGACUCCUACGGGAGGCAGCAGUAGGGAAUUUUGCGCAAUGGGGGAAACCCUGACGCAGCAACGCCGCGUGAUUGAUGAAGCCCUUCGGGGUGUAAAGAUCUUUCAGUGGGGACGAAACUUGACGGUACCCACAGAGGAAGCCCCGGCUAACUACGUGCCAGCAGCCGCGGUAAUACGUAGGGGGCAAGCGUUAUCCGGAUUUACUGGGUGUAAAGGGAGCGUAGACGGCAUAGCAAGUCUGAAGUGAAAGCCCAAGGCUCAACCAUGGGACUGCUUUGGAAACUGUUAAGCUAGAGUGCUGGAGAGGUAAGCGGAAUUCCUAGUGUAGCGGUGAAAUGCGUAGAUAUUAGGAAGAACACCAGUGGCGAAGGCGGCUUACUGGACAGUAACUGACGUUGAGGCUCGAAAGCGUGGGGAGCAAACAGGAUUAGAUACCCCCGUA
This 446-nucleotide ribosomal RNA is filed under the name uncultured bacterium. Its description in RNAcentral is "bacterial SSU rRNA". It matches the Rfam family "Bacterial small subunit ribosomal RNA", at positions 330 to 792 of the family's 1533-position model. The record is from RNAcentral.